Molecule: ribosomal RNA, 155 nt
Filed under: uncultured freshwater bacterium
Lineage: Bacteria
Description: partial 16S ribosomal RNA
Rfam family: Bacterial small subunit ribosomal RNA
Source: RNAcentral
CAGUGGGGAAUAUUGGACAAUGGGCGCAAGCCUGAUCCAGCCAUGCCGCGUGAGUGAUGAAGGCCUUAGGGUUGUAAAGCUCUUUUAUCCGGGACGAUAAUGACGGUACCGGAGGAAUAAGCCCCGGCUAACUUCGUGCCAGCAGCCGCGGUAAU